This 425-nucleotide ribosomal RNA is filed under the name uncultured Chitinophagaceae bacterium. Its description in RNAcentral is "bacterial SSU rRNA". It matches the Rfam family "Bacterial small subunit ribosomal RNA", at positions 354 to 776 of the family's 1533-position model. The record is from RNAcentral. Lineage: Bacteria; Pseudomonadati; Bacteroidota; Chitinophagia; Chitinophagales; Chitinophagaceae.
GUAAGGAAUAUUGGUCAAUGGACGAAAGUCUGAACCAGCCAUGCCGCGUGGAGGAUGAAGGUCCUCUGGAUUGUAAACUUCUUUUAUUUGGGACGAAAAAAGAGAAUUCUUUCUCACUUGACGGUACCAGAUGAAUAAGCACCGGCUAACUCCGUGCCAGCAGCCGCGGUAAUACGGAGGGUGCAAGCGUUAUCCGGAUUCACUGGGUUUAAAGGGUGCGUAGGCGGGUAGGUAAGUCAGUGGUGAAAUCUUCGAGCUUAACUCGGAAACUGCCAUUGAUACUAUUUAUCUUGAAUAUUGUGGAGGUAAGCGGAAUAUGUCAUGUAGCGGUGAAAUGCUUAGAUAUGACAUAGAACACCUAUUGCGAAGGCAGCUUACUACGCAUAUAUUGACGCUGAGGCACGAAAGCGUGGGGAUCAAACAGG